RNAcentral lists this unclassified non-coding RNA (896 nucleotides) under Hevea brasiliensis (rubber tree). The record is from RNAcentral. Lineage: Eukaryota; Viridiplantae; Streptophyta; Magnoliopsida; Malpighiales; Euphorbiaceae.
AUCAAUUACCCUGGAAGCUUUAUAGUAUGCAGCUGUGGCUUUUUGGUUUGCUUGUUCUUUCGGCUGAGAGCAAAUCUGCAAAAUUUCAAGUGCAUGGUUUAUUCAUAGAUCAUGCACUGCCUAAAGACAGGUUUUUUCGAGCCACAAAUUGUUGUGAAGAAUGGGUAGGUAAUUCUGUCUCAGGUUUAUUUUUAUUUCCAUAUUGCUAUUAAUCUCUCUUGGUAUCAUUCUUCUAUUAUGUGUGUUCUCGAGGUUUCUGAUAAACGCAUCUAUAUUCAUGUGCCUUUGCGCUCAUUUUCUUAAUCAUAUUUAAUGAUCUGUAAUUGCUUCGCUUGCUAAUAAAUAAGAGAAACUUGGUGACAAUUCCUCAACAGUUUAAAACAGUAUAGCUAUAAUAGAGUGAUAAAUUUUGAGAUAAUGGUAUCAGUUUUGAUGUUCACAUGCUAGAUGUAUUUCCAAAUUAACAGAAAGCUAAAGUGAGAAUCGCUGAGAGAUUCUAAAUUACUGAAAUCACCUUUCUAGGGGUUGUGGCUUUAGCCAAAAUUGCAGUGGAAAUAGCUUUGGCUAAUAUGAAAGAGACAAAUUUUUAUGUUUUGUCAUCUUGGCACAACAAAUUUGACAAUUUUAUUUCGGAUUAUUUGUGUUGUCAGUAAGCUCCUUGGGACUAAAUACAGGCUUCUACUCUGGAAAAAUAAGCUUUCAUCAAAUAUUAGUUUAAAUUUUCUGACCAUUGGUAUUUAUUUUUCUUACAUUUUCUUACAUUUUGCCUUUAGAACAAGGAUAACCAUCUGGAGAACUUGUAUGAAUAUCACCAUAAUCUCGACAGUGUGAACGCUGGAGUCUGUAACAGGAAUUAAACUAGUAUACUGUCUCUUUUGCCCCAAAUUUUUGGGAUG